Non-coding RNA from Oncorhynchus mykiss (rainbow trout), 842 nucleotides. The record is from RefSeq and is a predicted model, not a curated record. Lineage: Eukaryota; Metazoa; Chordata; Actinopteri; Salmoniformes; Salmonidae.
GAAACCACUUUCAUAUCUAUGUUCUAGUUUAUAAUCCCCCUAAAAUGUAUUUAAAUGUGUAUUCUAGGUCUCCUAACAACCACGGUUGCCCCAACAACUACCAGCACCUCACCACUUCCAACCCUUUUGCUGACCACUACUUUCAAUACCACAAGUAAUGAAGGUUUUCCUGGCUGGGCUCUGGCCAUUAUCAUCCCCUGUGGCAUCGCUAUCAUUCUGGUACCCCUGUGGAUCCUGCUAUGUUGCAUGCUAUGUGGCUGUUGUGCAGCUGUAAGGAGACGCUGGCACAGACGUAGAUCUUACAAUGUACAGUACACCACCAGAAACGGUUUCUUCUGAGGUGACAACGCUAACAUCUGUGGGCAACUGUCAUCACAAGAACAACCAAUCAUCUAUAUCUGCUAAUCACGGGACUUUAAUGCAUGGAAAAUUCCUUGUUACUACAUACAAUUGCAUCUGAAAAGAUCAAGUGGGGAGUUGCAUAUAUUUUAUCAUAAAAAUAAAAUUGAUAAUGGGCUUAAUAGGCCACAUGUUUUUUGUGCAAUGUACUACGUUUUAUAUUAUAGAUAUAUGAUUGUUAAUCAAAGUUACAGCUGAGCUGAACAUGGAAUGUUUAUAUAUUUAUUAGCUAUGUCAUUUGUGGUUUCAAGCUGUGCUAUCCACUUACUAAAACAUUUAUCACUUAUUUAUUUAAUGUGUAAUAAGCUAGAUUACAAUAUUUAUUUGAUUUUUGUUAUUAACUCUCUUGAUUAACUAUGAACUAUUUUAUUUUAAACUGCAAUACAGUACUUGUUUCUUCAACUUACAGUUUGACAAAUGUAAUAAAAAGUAUUUACAAACCA